UAGAGUGCUCCAGGCAGGCCUAUGCUCGAAUACAUUAGCAUGGAAUAAUAGAAUAGGACGUGCGGUUCUAUUUUGUUGGUUUCUAGGACCGCCGUAAUGAUUAAUAGGGACAUCGGGGGCAUCAGUAUUCAAUUGUCGGAGGUGAAAUUCUUGGAUUUAUUGAAGACUAACUACUGCGAAAGCAUUUGUCAAGGAUGUUUUCAUUAAUCAGGAACGAAAGUUAGGGGAUCGAAGACGAUCAGAUACCGUCGUAGUCUUAACCAUAAACUAUGCCGACUAGGGGUCGGAUGAUGUUAAUUUUUUAAUGACUCAUUCGGCGCCUUACGGGAAAC
Molecule: ribosomal RNA, 332 nt
Filed under: uncultured Glomus
Lineage: Eukaryota; Fungi; Glomeromycota; Glomeromycetes; Glomerales; Glomeraceae
Description: SSU rRNA
Rfam family: Eukaryotic small subunit ribosomal RNA
Source: RNAcentral